GACGAACGCUGGCGGCGUGCUUAACACAUGCAAGUCGAACGGAAAGGCCCUGCUUUUGUGGGGUGCUCGAGUGGCGAACGGGUGAGUAACACGAGAGUAACCUGCCCUUGACUUUGGGAUAACUUCAGGAAACUGGGGCUAAUACCGGAUAGGAGCUCCUGCUGCAUGGUGGGGGUUGGAAAGUUUCGGCGGUUGGGGAUGGACUCGCGGGUUAUCAGCUUGUUGGUGGGGUAGUGGCUUACCAAGGCUUUGACGGGUCGCCGGCCUGGGAGGGUGAACGGCGACAAGGGUACUGAGAGAGGGACCAGACGGCAAUGGGAGGCAGUAGGCGGAAGUAUUGCACAAUGGGAGGGAGCGUGUUACGGAGGCGUCGGGGUCGGGAAGCCGUCUUUUUGGUUGAAAACAGCUUUCGCUUGUGACGAAGCGUGAGUGACGGUAAUGAGUAAAGAAGCACCGGCUAACUACGUG
Molecule: ribosomal RNA, 468 nt
Filed under: uncultured bacterium
Lineage: Bacteria
Description: partial 16S ribosomal RNA
Rfam family: Bacterial small subunit ribosomal RNA
Source: RNAcentral